GGAGAGGUGGCCGAGCGGUAAGGCAGCGCUUUGCUAAGGCGCCGAGUCCUUCGGGACGCGCAGGUUCGAUCCCUGUCCUCUCCGCCA
Molecule: transfer RNA, 87 nt
Filed under: Bradyrhizobium elkanii
Lineage: Bacteria; Pseudomonadati; Pseudomonadota; Alphaproteobacteria; Hyphomicrobiales; Nitrobacteraceae
Also listed under: 3 other names
Description: tRNA-Ser
Rfam family: tRNA
About the family: Transfer RNA (tRNA) molecules are approximately 80 nucleotides in length. Their secondary structure includes four short double-helical elements and three loops (D, anti-codon, and T loops).
Source: RNAcentral